RNAcentral lists this ribosomal RNA (397 nucleotides) under uncultured bacterium. RNAcentral's name for it is "partial 16S ribosomal RNA". It matches the Rfam family "Bacterial small subunit ribosomal RNA", at positions 338 to 732 of the family's 1533-position model. The record is from RNAcentral.
CCUACGGGGGGCAGCAGUGAGGAAUAUUGGUCAAUGGUCGGGAGACUGAACCAGCCAAGCCGCGUGAGGGAUGAAGGUACAGAGUAUCGUAAACCUCUUUUGUCAGGGAACAAAGGUUGGGAUGCAUCCCCUUAUGAGUGUACCUUAUGAACAAGCAUCGGCUAACUCCGUGCCAGCAGCCGCGGUAAUACGGAGGAUGCGAGCGUUAUCCGGAUUUAUUGGGUUUAAAGGGUGCGCAGGCGGGCUGUUAAGUCAGGUGUGAAAGGCCGGGGCUCAACCCCGGCACGGCAGUUGAAACUGGCAGUCUAGAGUUGAGGAGAGGGAGGCGGAAUGCGCGGUGUAGCGGUGAAAUGCUUAGAUAUCGCGAAGAACUCCGAUUGCGAAGGCAGCAUGCCGG